Molecule: long non-coding RNA, 916 nt
Filed under: Homo sapiens (human)
Lineage: Eukaryota; Metazoa; Chordata; Mammalia; Primates; Hominidae
Description: HSALNT0248587
Source: RNAcentral
GGUGGGAGAUAACUUUAAUACAUUAAGCAAAUUAAAUCAAAGGACAAAAAUAUAACAGUAGACACAAGACAAUUUUGAAUCAUUAACAAAAUGUGAGGUAGACUAGUGAAAUUCACCAAAUUUUGGUUAAGAACAUUUUACAGUAAUAACACGGGUGCCCCAUUUUCUAAAAAUCACAAAAAGCAAUUGCAUAAAUUACAGCCAAAAAAAAUUAUAACAAUUGUCUUCUAGUUUUUCGUUUACAUUCAGUAUUAACCUGUGUGAACUGUCAUACAUGCUGAGGUUCAGCAGGUCUACAGGUGAGUUACUGUGUGGGCCUAGCGAAUCCAUUCAUCCCACAUCAGUGUCCUAAGGGAUUGCAAAGCUUAAAGCUGAACACACUAGGAUAUAUAUAUAUAUACACACAAAUCAUGGUGUCCUGUGCUUGUGCAAUUUUAUCCUUAAAGAAGGACCUAACAUACUCAAGAAUUAUACUGAUGAUAAGAUGAUUUUAAAAGAUCCAAACAUUAGUAAGAUAGGCUUUGAAAAGAAUAGGCAGAUCAAUUUCUCCAUUAUAGGGGUGAUGGUCUUUUGGCUUUAUUCUGGCAUAUCUCUUCCAGAGUUAAAUAGUAUUUAAGAGCUCAUAAUAAUAAUUUGAAUUUUCAGAGUGCAGCCCUAACUAAUGGAGUACCUGCAUCUGAUGUAACUACUUAAAAAAAAAGUUCUUUAAACUAUGAAGUCAUAAAGCCAGAAGAAACCCUGAGAGGCCAUCCACCCCAGAUGCCCCGACCAGCACCCCCUAGCAAUGUGAGGGGGCACUACCCCAGGAAGAGAACCACUGAUUUUGGCCCAGGCGUAAUUUUACAGGUGAUGGACUUGAGAUAUGGAGAGGUGAGAUGACUUUCCUUUUUCAUACAGACAGUUAAGAAGCAUGACU